UGGGGCGUGGCUAAGUGGUAAGGCAACGGGUUGUGGUCCCGCUAUGCGGAGGUUCGAAUCCUUCCGUCCCAA
Molecule: non-coding RNA, 72 nt
Organism: Gossypium hirsutum (cotton)
Lineage: Eukaryota; Viridiplantae; Streptophyta; Magnoliopsida; Malvales; Malvaceae
Source: Rfam